GGCGACUUUCCGUGUGACGGCCCCGGGCCGCCAUUCCCUCCCGGCCGGGCCCGCAGGCGGCGCUGCGCCCGCGCUGCUCCCGGCGCUGCUGGGGCGCUCCUGCUCCUGCCCUCACGGCCGCUUCCAGCGCUGCCCCUGCGCCCCGCCGGGAUGGCGGCACUGCUGGGCCGCUCCUGCCCUCACGGCCGCUUCCAGCGCUGCCCCUGCGCCCCACCGGGAUGGCGGCACUGCUGGGCCGCCCCUGCCCUCACGGGCCCCUCCAGCCUUGCCCACACGCCCCGCCGGGAUGGCGGCACUGCUGGGCCGCUCCUGCCCUCACGGCCGCUUCCAGCCUUGCCCACACGCCCCGCCGGGAUGGCGGCACUGCUGGGCCGCCCCUGCCCUCACGGCCGCUUCCAGCGCUGCCCCUGCGCCCCACGGGGAUGGCGGCACUGCUGGGCUGCUCCUGCCCUCACGGGCCGCCUCCAGCCUUGCCCACACGCCCCGCCGCCAGCAGGGACAGGACACGUACGGGCAGCCCGCGGGGAGCGCUUGCUCCGAGCUGUGCCCUGCGGCCGAACACGGGCCCUCAGCAGCUCCCGCUGCAGGAGAGACGUGCUGAAUUCUCGCUGACCCGGGCUAAUUUCAGAGAGGCUGGAGGCAAUGGUAGCUGCCCCUGUGCUCCAACCCCGAGUGUGGGACCGCUCCAGGCAAACCGGAGCCCGGCCCCGCCGGCCCGCGGCCGAGCCCUCCUGCUGCCAGCCCCGGCAAUGCGGCCGCUGGCUGUGUCCGCCUGAGCUGCUUUAAGCACCACAGCCCCUGGAGGCUUUUCCGCUUUUUGUUUUCAGGGUUUGUCUGCGGGCCAGCUGACGGCUAAACUCGGGUGACCUUCCUCUCCCAGCGAGGCUGACGCCGGUGCACGGUAUCGAUCUCACUGCGGUACGGGAGGUGCAGCCAAAGCACCGAGACGCACUCACCUCGUACAGCGUAGCACAGUGAACUUUCAGAAAGUAAAAGUGCUUGCUCAGGAGGCUGAUAGAGUAAAUCAUCAAAAACACCCGCUGUCCAUUGUGCCUCUUGACAUUCAUUGUGCUGCAGCUGCGACUUGUUUUAUUGACUCGUUAUAGGGAUGUAAUGCAUUGGGAAGUUAGAAACUUGCAAAGGGAAGUAUUUGCUGUCCCAUAAAUUGUCCCUCUAAUUUUGUAACACAUUACAUUUAAAGGCAGGUCAUAAUGUUCCCAAUCAGUUACCAAAAGGUAGGUCUCUAACUAAAAAUUACUUGAGUGAGGAGCUGAGGAACUUGCAUCAAAUUUGAGCGCUGAAAAACAGGCCAGUUUGAAUUAACUGCUGGUGGAGCCUAGCUCUGAAAACACGGUCUGCUGUCACCAGGUACAACACUUACCUUUUGAAACAGAUCCAGGGAAUGAACAAGCAUAAAAAUAUUCCAGAUAACUUCAGGGUGCUAUUCAGUGAUACUGGCUGCCUGUUCCACUAAGAGGCCUGACACACCACUGGAUAUGCAUCUGCUUGACCCUGGACAGGUUCUUCAGCUAGAACCAAAUCCACACUCUGCUUGUUGUACAAGAGGAAAAUGGGGGAUUGGGAUGAGCAAGAGUCAGUUUUCUUCCCCUCCAAGUAUUCUUGCAUGGACUGAGUAGGUAACUGUACAAGUAAGCUGAAUCAUAAUGGGGGCUGCUUAGAUUUUUGAACAGGUGAUUGGCCUUUUUCUCCCAUUUAUAAAUCUUAUACAUAUUAGUUUCAUAAUUUCUUUCAGCAGACUUUUGAGCUGCAGCAUCGAGAGCUGCAGCAAAUAUUUGUUUUGUUUAUUGCUUAUUUUUCAAAUGUCAUCAUGCACCAGAGGUCUGCAGGAGCUCAUCACUUCCCAGGGACAAGAAGACUGCAAGAACCUUCUGAUGUGGAACAGUCUGUGCAGUCUUCUGCCUACAAUAAACUUUUUUCCCUGUAUGUGGGCAAAAAGACGGAAUAUCACAGAAAUUAAAAAACAGAUUGAAGCUCUCAUUGUGUUUAAGCUGCAGUAUAUAUUAGGAUAUGGCAUUUGUCUAAUGAUGAGUCUUAUG
Long non-coding RNA from Taeniopygia guttata (zebra finch), 2057 nucleotides. NCBI's taxonomy places the organism in Eukaryota, Metazoa, Chordata, Aves, Passeriformes, Estrildidae. The record is from Ensembl.